This 573-nucleotide ribosomal RNA is filed under the name uncultured rumen bacterium. RNAcentral's name for it is "bacterial SSU rRNA". It matches the Rfam family "Bacterial small subunit ribosomal RNA", at positions 347 to 916 of the family's 1533-position model. The record is from RNAcentral.
GGCAGCAGCUAAGAAUAUUCCGCAAUGGACGAAAGUCUGACGGAGCGACGCCGCGUGGAUGAUGAAGGCCGGAAGGUUGUAAAAUCCUUUAGCAAGUGAGGAAUAAGCAGAGCAGGGAAUGGCUCUGUGGUGACUGUAGCUUGAGAAUAAGCAUCGGCUAAUUACGUGCCAGCAGCCGCGGUAACACGUAAGAUGCUAGCGUUGUUCGGAAUUAUUGGGCGUAAAGGGCAUGUAGGCGGUUAUUCGAGUCUGGUGUGAAAUCUCGGAGCUUAACUCCGAAACUGCAUUGGAAACUAGAUAACUAGAAUUGCUGAGGGGAAGCCGGAAUUCCAGGUGUAGGGGUGAAAUCUGUAGAGAUCUGGAAGAACACCAAUGGCGAAGGCAGGCUUCUAGCAGAUAAUUGACGCUGAGGUGCGAAGGGACGGGGAGCAAACAGGAUUAGAUACCCUGGUAGUCCGUCCAGUAAACUAUGUACACUAGAUGUCCGGGCAGGAGCUCGGGUGUCGCAGCAAACGCUUUAAGUGUACCGCCUGGGAAGUAUGCCCGCAAGGGUGAAACUCAAGGAAUUGACGG